This 375-nucleotide ribosomal RNA is filed under the name uncultured bacterium. RNAcentral describes it as "partial 16S ribosomal RNA". It matches the Rfam family "Bacterial small subunit ribosomal RNA", at positions 355 to 743 of the family's 1533-position model. The record is from RNAcentral.
UGGGGAAUAUUGGACAAAUGGGGGCAACCCUGAUCCAGCCAUGCCGCGUGAGUGAUGAAGGCCUUCGGGUUGUAAAGCUCUUUUGGCGGGGUACGAUGAUGACGGUACCCGCAGAAUAAGCCCCGGCUAACUUCGUGCCAGCAGCCGCGGUAAGACGAAGGGGGCUAGCGUUGUUCGGAAUUACUGGGCGUAAAGCGAGUGUAGGCGGUUGCCGUAGUCAGGUGUGAAAGCCUUGAGCUCAACUCAAGAAAUGCACUUGAUACUGGGUGACUAGAGGACCGGAGAGGAUAGUGGAAGUUCCCCAGUGUAGUGGUGAAAUACGUAGAGAUUGGGAAGAACACCAGUGGCGAAGGCGGCUAUCUGGACGGUUACUGA